Molecule: transfer RNA, 75 nt
Filed under: Planctomycetaceae bacterium
Lineage: Bacteria; Pseudomonadati; Planctomycetota; Planctomycetia; Planctomycetales; Planctomycetaceae
Also listed under: 1 other name
Description: tRNA-Thr
Rfam family: tRNA
About the family: Transfer RNA (tRNA) molecules are approximately 80 nucleotides in length. Their secondary structure includes four short double-helical elements and three loops (D, anti-codon, and T loops). Further hydrogen bonds mediate the characteristic L-shaped molecular structure. tRNAs have two regions of fundamental functional importance: the anti-codon, which is responsible for specific mRNA codon recognition, and the 3' end, to which the tRNAs corresponding amino acid is attached (by aminoacyl-tRNA synthetases). tRNAs cope with the degeneracy of the genetic code in two manners: having more than one tRNA (with a specific anti-codon) for a particular amino acid; and 'wobble' base-pairing, i.e. permitting non-standard base-pairing at the 3rd anti-codon position.
Source: RNAcentral
GCCCGCGUAGCUCAACGGUGGAGCGUCGCUUUCGUAAAGCGAAGGAUGUCGGUUCAAAUCCGACCGCGGGCUCCA